Tachysurus vachellii is the source of this 3342-nucleotide RNA transcript. It is a transcript of the gene named podocan, with no coding region annotated. The record is from RefSeq and is a predicted model, not a curated record. The transcript has 11 exons. NCBI's taxonomy places the organism in Eukaryota, Metazoa, Chordata, Actinopteri, Siluriformes, Bagridae.
UCUCUCUCCCACUCUCUGCACAUCUGGAGCGAUGGAUCACUUCUGAGUCGAGCUGCAGGUUCAAGUGUUUGGACUAAAAACCUGCUGCACAAAAGCUGAAUUUUAUUACUAUUAUUGCAGGACAGAGAGGUGAGUAGAGAAGAGUGUGAAUUCUUCCCCUUGGAGGUUUGUCCAGACCACACACACACUCAGAUACACACACUCAAACACACACACACACACACACACACACACACACACAUACACACACACACACUUGGGAGUGUGCUACUCUUUCUUUCCUAGAGGACAGUGUGUACUGAGUGUGUUGCGAUGAUCUGGAGGUGUGUGUUGUGUGCACUGCUGCUGUGUUGGGCUCUCGUUCUCGGAGUCGAGCCUGAACACCAGCAGGAAGAACAACACACGGUCCAGAAGAAUAAAGGAACAGAGAAAGACAGGAAGGGAAAAACGGUGGCGAUGUGUCCAGAUCAGUGCAGCUGCACGACCGAAGAAACUGUCGACUGCGCCGGGGUCAAUGUAUCUGAGUUUCCACAAGAGAUACCGGAGAACACACGGCAUCUCUCACUGCAGAAUAAUCAGAUCUCUGAGAUCAGAGCGGAGGAUCUUGUACGACUCCUUCAUCUGGAGACUCUCAACCUUCAGAACAACCGCCUCACCACGCAGGGCCUUGAAGAUGAUGGGUUUGAAGCUCUGGAGCAGCUCAGUUAUUUAUACUUGGCGAAUAACCAGCUCACAGCAGCACCCAGAUAUCUUCCACCAACACUGGUCAGCGCAGACUUCGCCGCGAACCAGCUGACCACCAUCUACCCCUACACGUUUGGCCAGAAACCGAGACUGAAGUCAGUGUACCUUCACAACAACAAGCUGUCUGACGCAGGUUUCCCUGAGGGAAUGUUCAACGGUUCAGACAACCUGGAGGUGUUAAUCCUCUCCAGCAACUACCUGCGCUACGUCCCUAAAGGCCUGCCGAAGGCACUCUUCCGUCUUCAUUUGAAGAAUAACAAACUGGAGAAGAUUCCUUCAGGUGCGUUCGAGAACCAGCCUCAUCUGAGAGAACUGUACCUGCAGAACAACCUCCUGAGCAACAAUGGCAUGGAUAACACCACCUUCAGUCAUCUGAGCAGACUGGAGUACCUGGACCUGUCCAACAACAAUCUGACUGCAGUACCUUCAGGUCUUCCCCGGACCCUGAUGCUGCUCCACCUGGAGAAAAACUACAUCACCUCUGUCAGGGUCGAUUCCCUCAGUGCUGUGAAGGAUCUUCAGUACCUUCUGCUUCACCACAAUCGGCUUCGUGCUCGCUACAUCCACCGCGACGCCUUCCGUGGUCUCAAGCGCCUCCACACGCUCCACCUACACCACAACCUGCUGGAACGAAUCCCUCUGGGCCUGCCGCGCCGCGCCCACACUCUCGUACUGAUGCGAAACUUCAUCGGUGAGAUUGGACGUGACGACCUCAGCACUCUUUACACGCUCAACGAGCUCAACCUUAGCUACAACCGCUUGACGAGUGAACGCAUUCAUCGCCAUGCCUUCAGGAAAUUGCGCGUGCUGGAAGUCUUGGAUUUGUCAGGGAACAAACUGAGCACGCUGCCUCUCGGGCUUCCGAAGAGCCUCCGCCUCCUGCGGGUGAAGAAUAAUCAGAUUGCCGAGCUGCCAGAGGGGGCACUGAUGGGUAUGAGCAAACUGAAGGAGCUCCAUCUUUCUAACAACCAGAUCAAACUAGGAUCCAUCUACCAAGGGGCGUGGCAGGAGCUCGGCUCUCUCACAACUCUUGAACUGUCAGGUAACUUGCUGUCUCAUGUCCCUGCUGAUCUUCCCGAGUCUUUGGAGUUCCUACAUCUGCAGAACAACAAGAUCAGCAGCAUCUCUGCCACAGACUUCAUCAGUACUCCAAACAUCAAGAGCAUCUUCCUGAGGUUUAACCGUCUCUCUGCUCUCUCCGUGGCUGAGGACUCCUUCUCUCACCUGUCCAAGCUGCAGGUGUUGGACAUCGGACAUGGAAACGUCACGCCUCUUCGUAACCACGGAGAUAUCACAGAGGAAGACUACACGGAAAACGAGGAGGAAGAGGUGGAACUGAAUAAAUGAUAAACUGAAAAGAACAUUCUAAUGAGAUUUAUACUGUAUAGAGUGUCGAUGAUGGAGGUCAUGUGACUCUGAGUGUUAAUAUAAGAGUGUUGAUGAUGAAGGUCAUGUGACUCUGAGUGUUAAUAUAAGAGUGUUGAUGAUGAAGGUCAUGUGACUGAGUGUUAAUAAUAAUAUGAGUGUAGAUGAUGGAGGUCAUGUGACUCUGAGUGUUAAUAAUAAUAUGAGUGUUGAUGAUGGAGGUCAUGUGACUCUGAGUGUUAAUAAGAAUAUGAGAGUGUUGAUGAUGGAGGUCAUGUGACUCUGAGUGUUAAUAAUAAUAUAAGAGUGUUGAUGAUGGAGGUCAUGUGACUGAGUGUUAAUAAGACUAUGAGAGUGUUGAUGAUGGAGGUCAUGUGACUGAGUGUUAAUAAGACUAUGAGAGUGUUGAUACGAUUCUGAGCAGCUCAGCUUUUGAUAUUUUUCUUUUGCCUUCAGGAUAAAUUUGCUCAUCCUUUGCAGCGAGUGUUAGUAAGUGCAUUAACCUUCUGCCUCGUUUAUCUCAGAAACCACUUUCAUCUCCUCUCUGAAAUGUCAUUUGUUUCAAAGCACUAUGGGAAAAUAAUAGGAAUGAUCUAAAGGAAUUAGUCGUGACAGAUUAUUAUUAUUAUUUUAUCUCUUUAACUUUUUUAUUUCUGGAGCAGACAGAUUUCUAUUGGAACUUUUUAUUGAAAACAAAAGAAAGGAGCGAGCAGGAGAGUCGUGUGGCGGCGAGGACAAAACCUUCACCUUUAUGGUCUAUAAACAAAAAAAAUCCAUUUAAUAUUCUAUAAGACUCGAUAAUGUUCUGUUUUCACCUGAAAAAUAAUGACUAAAUAACACAAAUAUUCAUGUUGUAUUUCAUGUUAAUUCUACAUCACUUCACUAAAAGGUUUCAGUCUGAAGGUCCUCAUCAUCCCACCAUCAUCCCACCAUCAUCCCACCAUCAUCCCACCAUCAUCCCACCGUCAUCCCACCAUCAUCCCACCGUCAUCCCACCAUCGUCCAGGAGAAGCUUCAACUUCCCUUCGUGUUUAUUUACGUCCUGGAAACUGUGCUAAAGAAUUCAAAUAGAAAUCAUUUUCAAAAGGAAAAAUGAUCCUUUUUUUUAUUUUCAGCAAUAACUGAGAAUCAAGACACAGUUAAGAAAAUUGUUCUGAGUCCAGUGAAGAUUCUGUGAUGUGUUUUUUUAUAUUUGUGACAAAUAUAAAGCGUGUGCUGACACGUCUGCUAGCA